CAGAUCUGCCCGAAGUCCAGCUCUACCCUGGGAGAUCUUGUGCUGGUUGCCUAGCAUUUCAGAGCUCCAGGCCCUCUCCUCUAACAUACAGGAAGCAGCAAUGCUGUGCUGUGGAGGCUCAGGCCCGAUUGGGCUGGGUAAGGAUUGGAGAGUGUCCUGUCAGCGAUACAAAGCUGAUUUCUAGCGAAGGACUGGAGGGAACGGUUGGACUCUACAGAGGAGAGAACACUGCGCUCUUUCCCAUCUAAUGAUUACCCAGCUGACACCGGGCCUGGGGAACGGAAUGCGUGAAAGAAACAGCUCCAUUUUAAUUUUGCUUAAGCACAAUUCUGUUUGGGACACCAAGACUGUGAGAAGAAUCUCUGGAAGGAGGCCAUGUAACAUGGCCAGUAACAUGCUGAGGUCCUAACCCCAGGUUCCUAUGAAUGUGACUGCCCUUGGAAGUAAGUUCUUUAAAGAUGUGAUCAAGGUGAGCCGAGGUCUAAGGGUGGGUCCUAACCAACACGACCGUGACCUUACAAGAAGCAGAGAUCAGGGUGCAGGCACACAGAGAGGACAACCCUGAGGGCACAGGGAGAAGACACUCCUGCAAGCCAAGGAGCGAGACCCUACUAGGAAGCUGCCCUGCUGAUCCUGUGACCUUGGACUUCCAGUGUCCACAGCUGUGGGACAAUCAAUGUCCGCAGCUCUGAAUCUGUGGUGGUUUGUUGCUGGAGCCCAGCAGACUCAUGACCUGGUCCUCAUUCUGCUCCAGUUACAUGGUUUCUCUGCCAUUCCUAGACACCCAGGGCACACUCCUGCCCCAGGACCUUGGCACAGGCUGCUGCCCUCUGCCUGGCUGCUCACAGCUCUGGUCCACCUGCUUCAGGUCUCCCUCAGAUACCAACCCCUCCCCGAAGCCUUCCCUGGUCUCCACCUCUGUCUCCUCCUGACUUCUUUUUUUGGCUCCUUUUCUGUCUCCCUUUUCACUAUCUUUUUUCACCAGAUGUGGCUUUGAGUGCAGUUUUAUUUGCAGGCCUGUCCCAGGAGUGGAACAAGGCCGCACCGUCUUAUUACUGCAUUGUUUUUGGUUGUUGAAUGAACAAACAAAGGCAUAGAGUGUGCUCCUCAAGCCAUGGAUGAACUUCUCCCUCUGCAGCAGGCAUCUUUGUCAUCUCCACCUGUGAGGAUACAAAGGUUAAGUGAGGAGCCCGGCGUCGCAUCUUCGUGGGCAGGAGACUGUGGAUGAGUAUCCCGGCAACCUGCUCCUGCAUCUUGGUCCUGAAUCCCCUCUGGCGCUGGAACAAAGAGCUUGGGCCUGUCCACUGCCAUGUACGGAAAUUCAGCCAAGGGUGGACCCUAGGUGGGACUUGGACUCUUCUUUUUUGCAAAGCAAAGAUUCCUGCCUAUACUUUAAAAUGAGGCCACAGCUCACAUCAGAUAUGCAUGUAUUUGGCUACAAAUUAAUUGGAAAUAAUUUGUAAACAUUUGUUUACAAAAUGAGUUGUUUCACGUGCGGCUAUGAUGUGAAGUAUUUCUAAGUGUGCAGGUAAUCUGUCUGUAGGCUUAGGAAUGCUUUCCAAAUCAGAAAACCUAACCUAUACAAUAUUUGAAAACAUG
Molecule: long non-coding RNA, 1599 nt
Organism: Chinchilla lanigera (long-tailed chinchilla)
Lineage: Eukaryota; Metazoa; Chordata; Mammalia; Rodentia; Chinchillidae
Exons: 3
Source: RefSeq, a predicted model, not a curated record